UCCACUUAGGAGACUUGAUUGCACUCUAAUUUGCUAAAUUUUAUAUGCUUGGAAGAGAAAAAUCUGUAUUACAAAUGGAUACAAAACCAAAGUAUACAUGAGUGUGCCUCAUCCUUCCCACCAGGAAGCUCUAUUUAUGAGCAUCAUAUAGACUAUUUCCAGUUGGCAGCAAGGCAUGCACUAAUAGGCACACAAAAGGUUAACCUGUACAUGAUGUUUAUCUCUUAUAACAUCUAUAACUUUGCAAAGGAAAAACAAAA
Molecule: long non-coding RNA, 260 nt
Filed under: Hordeum vulgare
Lineage: Eukaryota; Viridiplantae; Streptophyta; Magnoliopsida; Poales; Poaceae
Description: long non-coding RNA (HVUL_LNC015944)
Source: RNAcentral